CGGAUACUAAUUAAUAAUUAGUACACAAUUAGGUAUCAAAGCAGCAGGUGAGAUUCAAAAAUGUAAUCUUUCAAUGUACUAAACUCUUUCUGUUCCCAAAAAAAAAGAUUUUCUAGAAUAUUCACAUAUAUUAAGGAAAUAAUUAACUUUUUACAAUUGAAUUUAUUAUUUAUUUUACUAUACAUUUUCCAAUAAAUAUCAACUAAUAGUAUUCAACCAAUUCAAAUAUUUUCAAUUAAUGUUUCUUAAAAAUAUAUAACUUUUCAACAUUAACUACUAAAAGUACCUUAAAAUUUUAGAAAAUAUAUCAUUUUGGAACAAAAAAUAAAUUUAAAAAAUCCUACUUUAAAAAACAGAGGAAGUAUAUAUUUAUAUUCUCAAAGAUAAGAUAUUGUCCGUGUUUCAAAAAAAAAAAAAAAGAUAUUGUCCACCUUCUACUUUUGGAAAGCAAAUCGGCCCAUCUAGUUAUUCUAAUCACCAUUCCUAGGGACGUCUGUAAAGGGAAACCCUCCAAAUAUCAAGUAGAAAUUGUAUUUAUAUCAUUUACUAUAUAUAGAUGGACAACAUUUUUUUAUUAUUGGACCAUUUCAUGUUUAUAAUAUAUAGAGUAUAGGGGAUGUAAAUAUUUUUCUUACGUUAAACAUGAUAGGCCAGGGACAGAUUGGAUAUCCGGACAAUUUUAAGGUAUCCGGCGGAUCUAUAAUUUUACUAUCUUUAUCCAGAUUCGGGGUUCUCGCAU
This 739-nucleotide long non-coding RNA is filed under the name Brassica rapa (field mustard). Its description in RNAcentral is "long non-coding RNA (BRAP_LNC000373)". The record is from RNAcentral. Lineage: Eukaryota; Viridiplantae; Streptophyta; Magnoliopsida; Brassicales; Brassicaceae.